GACGAACGCUGGCGGCGUGCUUAACACAUGCAAGUCGAACGGAAAGGCCCUGCUUUUGUGGGGUGCUCGAGUGGCGAACGGGUGAGUAACACGUGAGUAACCUGCCCUUGACUUUGGGAUGACUUCAGGAAACUGGGGCUAAUACCGGAUAGGAGCUCCUGCUGCAUGGUGGGGGUUGGAAAGUUUCGGCGGUUGGGGAUGGACUCGCGGCUUAUCAGCUUGUUGGUGGGGUAGUGGCUUACCAAGGCUUUGACGGGUAGCCGGCCUGAGAGGGUGACCGGCCACAUUGGGACUGAGUUACGGCCCAGACUCCUACGGGAGGCAGCAGUGGGGAAUAUUGCACAAUGGGCGGAAGCCUGAUGCAGCAACGCCGCGUGCGGGAUGACGGCCUUCGGGUUGUAAACCGCUUUCGCCUGUGACGAAGCGUGAGUGACGGUAAUGGGUAAAGAAGCACCGGCUAACUACGUG
Molecule: ribosomal RNA, 468 nt
Filed under: uncultured bacterium
Lineage: Bacteria
Description: partial 16S ribosomal RNA
Rfam family: Bacterial small subunit ribosomal RNA
Source: RNAcentral